GUGCCAGCCGCCGCGGUAAUACGGAGGUGGCAAGCGUUGUUCGGAAUUACUGGGCGUAAAGGGCGCGUAGGCGGCAUGACAAGUCAGAUGUGAAAGCCCCGGGCUUAACCUGGGAACUGCAUCUGAAACUGUAAUGCUUGAGUUCUGGAGGGGGUAGUGGAAUUCCCAGUGUAGCGGUGAAAUGCGUAGAUAUUGGGAGGAACACCUGCGGCGAAGGCGGCUACCUGGACAGAGACUGACGCUGAGGCGCGAAAGCUAGGGGAGCGAACGGGAUUAGAAACCCCCGUAGUCC
This 292-nucleotide ribosomal RNA is filed under the name uncultured bacterium. Its description in RNAcentral is "partial 16S ribosomal RNA". It matches the Rfam family "Bacterial small subunit ribosomal RNA", at positions 505 to 796 of the family's 1533-position model. The record is from RNAcentral.